ACUCAAAUGAAUUGACGGGGGCCCGCACAAGCGGCGGAGCAUGUGGAUUAAUUCGAUGCAACGCGAAGAACCUUACCUGGGUUUGACAUGCACCAGAUUGCGGCAGAGAUGUCGUUUCCCUUGUGGCUGGUGUGCAGGUGGUGCAUGGCUGUCGUCAGCUCGUGUCGUGAGAUGUUGGGUUAAGUCCCGCAACGAGCGCAACCCUUGUUCCAUGUUGCCAGCGCGUAGUGGCGGGGACUCAUGGGAGACUGCCGGGGUCAACUCGGAGGAAGGUGGGGAUGACGUCAAGUCAUCAUGCCCCUUAUGUCCAGGGCUUCACACAUGCUACAAUGGCAAGUACAGAGGGCUGCGAGACCGCGAGGUGGAGCGAAUCCCUUAAAGCUUGUCUCAGUUCGGAUCGGGGUCUGCAACUCGACCCCGUGAAGUUGGAGUCGCUAGUAAUCGCAGAUCAGCAUUGCUGCGGUGAAUACGUUCCCGGGCCUUGUACACACCGCCCGU
Molecule: ribosomal RNA, 498 nt
Filed under: uncultured bacterium
Lineage: Bacteria
Description: partial 16S ribosomal RNA
Rfam family: Bacterial small subunit ribosomal RNA
Source: RNAcentral